Molecule: ribosomal RNA, 253 nt
Filed under: uncultured bacterium
Lineage: Bacteria
Description: partial 16S ribosomal RNA
Rfam family: Bacterial small subunit ribosomal RNA
Source: RNAcentral
UACGGGGGGGGCAAGCGUUGUUCGGAAUUACUGGGCGUAAAGGGCUCGUAGGCGGCCAACUAAGUCAGACGUGAAAUCCCUCGGCUUAACCGGGGAACUGCAUCUGAUACUGGAUGGCUUGAGAUUGGGAGAGGGAUGCGGAAUUCCAGGUGUAGCGGUGAAAUGCGUAGAUAUCGUAAGGAAGACCAGUGGCGAAGGCGGGUCUCUGGACAGUUCCUGACGCUGAGGCACGAAGGCCAGGGGAGCAAACGGG